GUGGGGAAUAUUGGACAAUGGGCGAAAGCCUGAUCCAGCCAUGCCGCGUGUGUGAAGAAGGUCUUCGGAUUGUAAAGCACUUUAAGUUGGGAGGAAGGGCAGUAAGUUAAUACCUUGCUGUUUUGACGUUACCGACAGAAUAAGCACCGGCUAACUUCGUGCCAGCAGCCGCGGUAAUACGAAGGGUGCAAGCGUUAAUCGGAAUUACUGGGCGUAAAGCGCGCGUAGGUGGUUUUGUAAGUUGGAGGUGAAAUCCCCGGGCUCAACCUGGGAUCUGCCACAAAAAAUGCAUGACUAGAGUACGGUAGAGGGUAGUGGAAUUUCCUGUGUAGCGGUGAAAUGCGUAGAUAUAGGAGGGAACACCAGUGGCGAAGGCGACUACCUGGGCUGAUACUGACACUGAGGUGCGAAAGCGUGGGGAGCAAACAGGAUUAGAAACCCCAGUAGUCC
RNAcentral lists this ribosomal RNA (450 nucleotides) under uncultured bacterium. RNAcentral describes it as "bacterial SSU rRNA". It matches the Rfam family "Bacterial small subunit ribosomal RNA", at positions 354 to 796 of the family's 1533-position model. The record is from RNAcentral.